Molecule: transfer RNA, 64 nt
Filed under: bovine gut metagenome
Rfam family: tRNA
About the family: Transfer RNA (tRNA) molecules are approximately 80 nucleotides in length. Their secondary structure includes four short double-helical elements and three loops (D, anti-codon, and T loops). Further hydrogen bonds mediate the characteristic L-shaped molecular structure. tRNAs have two regions of fundamental functional importance: the anti-codon, which is responsible for specific mRNA codon recognition, and the 3' end, to which the tRNAs corresponding amino acid is attached (by aminoacyl-tRNA synthetases). tRNAs cope with the degeneracy of the genetic code in two manners: having more than one tRNA (with a specific anti-codon) for a particular amino acid; and 'wobble' base-pairing, i.e. permitting non-standard base-pairing at the 3rd anti-codon position.
Source: RNAcentral
AAUAGCUCAGUUGGUUAGAGCACCUGACUGUUAAUCAGGGGGUCGCAGGUUCAAGUCCUGCUUG